This 74-nucleotide transfer RNA is filed under the name Anaerobacillus sp. HL2. RNAcentral's name for it is "tRNA-Arg". It matches the Rfam family "tRNA". Rfam says of the family: Transfer RNA (tRNA) molecules are approximately 80 nucleotides in length. Their secondary structure includes four short double-helical elements and three loops (D, anti-codon, and T loops). The record is from RNAcentral. Lineage: Bacteria; Bacillati; Bacillota; Bacilli; Caryophanales; Bacillaceae.
GUCCUAGUAGCUCAGCUGGAUAGAGCAUGGCACUUCUAAUGCCAGGGUCGGGAGCCUGAAUUUCCGGGACGCCA